UGAGGAAUAUUGGUCAAUGGGCGAGAGCCUGAACCAGCCAAGUAGCGUGCAGGAUGACGGCCCUAUGGGUUGUAAACUGCUUUUAUGUGGGGAUAAAGUGAGCUACGUGUAGUUUAUUGCAGGUACCACAUGAAUAAGGACCGGCUAAUUCCGUGCCAGCAGCCGCGGUAAUACGGAAGGUCCAGGCGUUAUCCGGAUUUAUUGGGUUUAAAGGGAGCGUAGGCCGUGGAUUAAGCGUGUUGUGAAAUGUAGACGCUCAACGUCUGAAUUGCAGCGCGAACUGGUUCACUUGAGUAUGCACAACGUAGGCGGAAUUCGUCGUGUAGCGGUGAAAUGCUUAGAUAUGACGAAGAACUCCGAUUGCGAAGGCAGCUUACGGGGGCACAACUGACGCUGAAGCUCGAAGGUGCGGGUAUCAAACAGGAUUAGAUACCCUGGUAGUCCGCACAGUNNCGAUGGAUGCCCGUUGUUAGUUCACUUAUGAAUUAGCGACCAAGCGAAAGCAUUAAGCAUCCCACCUGGGGAGUACGCCGGNNCGGU
RNAcentral lists this ribosomal RNA (540 nucleotides) under uncultured bacterium. RNAcentral's name for it is "bacterial SSU rRNA". It matches the Rfam family "Bacterial small subunit ribosomal RNA", at positions 355 to 895 of the family's 1533-position model. The record is from RNAcentral.